CGGCCGGGGGUCCGCACGCGCCGCGCCGGGCGGCCGGAGUCCGCACUUCCCUCCUGCCAAAGUUUUAAUGAACAUAUAGACACACCCGGACCUGGGUCACCCCCAGGGUCUGCUGGCCGCGCCCCACAGAUCUGGGGGUUCCCCUGGGAGAGAUGCACGCCCCGAUGGCGUCUUUGUCCCAACUCAGGGAAUCAGAACUUGGGGCCUGUCACUGCAGCAAGAGUCUGGUCAUGGCUGUGGAGACGCCAGUGCCCUAGGAAAAGAUGAGGCAUCGUCUGAGGAAUCGCCUUCAGAACCCGAGGCACAUCUGUUCAGACCUUCGAUGCUGACAGCUGUUUUUGAAGGUGAAUAUGGCGCUUGGAACCAUCCAGAAGUCAUCUGGAGUCCAGUGAAAAAGCCAGCCAUCAAGGUAAGAGAAACCAUUUUUGCUAAAGGGAAAUAGGAUACACUCCGAACUUCAGUGCCUGGAUCAGUCUGGUUUGCUUCUGUGACUUGAACACUGAAUGAGGC
Molecule: long non-coding RNA, 510 nt
Filed under: Ovis aries (sheep)
Lineage: Eukaryota; Metazoa; Chordata; Mammalia; Artiodactyla; Bovidae
Description: lncRNA (ENSOARG00000026883.1)
Source: RNAcentral